UACGGAGGAUGCGAGCGUUAUCCGGAUUUAUUGGGUUUAAAGGGUGCGUAGGCGGGCAUUUAAGCCGGCGGUCAAAUGUCGGGGCUCAACCCCGGCCUGCCGUCGGAACUGGGUGCCUUGAGUGGGCGAGAAGUAUGCGGAAUGCGUGGUGUAGCGGUGAAAUGCAUAGAUAUCACGCAGAACCCCGAUUGCGAAGGCAGCAUACCGGCGCCCAACUGACGCUGAGGCACGAAAGCGUGGGUAUCGAA
RNAcentral lists this ribosomal RNA (248 nucleotides) under uncultured Muribaculaceae bacterium. RNAcentral's name for it is "partial 16S ribosomal RNA". It matches the Rfam family "Bacterial small subunit ribosomal RNA", at positions 524 to 772 of the family's 1533-position model. The record is from RNAcentral. Lineage: Bacteria; Pseudomonadati; Bacteroidota; Bacteroidia; Bacteroidales; Muribaculaceae.